UGUUAGGUAUCUUAAUAAAGUACAUUUUUAAAGCUCGCAAACAUCUUAUUUAUUUAUUUAUUAUUUUUGGAGAUGGAGUCUCACUCUGUUGCCCAGGCUGGAGUGCAGUGGUGCGAUCUCUAUUCUUCUGUCUGGAAGAGCUACAGCUCUUACAGAUGUUAAAAUGACAUCUAACGGAAAUCAUACAUCCCUUAUUCUUUGUCUAGUUCUCUGGUCACAACACUAACGUGUGUUAAUGAAAAACUGGUCCCUAUGCUUGAAGAGUUCACAGGAAUAUUAUUACUACUCUUAUUUUAUUAGGUAAUUUUUGCAACAACUCUAUUAUUACUCUGCUUUACAGAUGGAAAAAUUGGGAGUUAGAGAGGUUCAAUAACUUGCUUGGGAGGGAUAUAGCCACAAAAAUGCAUUUAUAUAGAAUUUUUGCUGUUUAUUCUAAAGAAGUAGAUCAAAACCAGGCAAAAACUCCCUUCCCUCUUCCACCUCCCUUUUCAGGGACACUUGGCAGGAGGCAUUUUUGAUUGUUUUGGUUGGGGGGACAGUGAAGGUGGCA
RNAcentral lists this long non-coding RNA (550 nucleotides) under Pan troglodytes (chimpanzee). Its description in RNAcentral is "long non-coding RNA NONPTRT017161". Lineage: Eukaryota; Metazoa; Chordata; Mammalia; Primates; Hominidae. The record is from RNAcentral.